AUCCAGCUGACGAGUCCCAAAUAGGACGAAACAAGCCUCCUGGAU
Schistosoma mattheei is the source of this 45-nucleotide non-coding RNA. NCBI's taxonomy places the organism in Eukaryota, Metazoa, Platyhelminthes, Trematoda, Strigeidida, Schistosomatidae. The record is from Rfam.